Lolium rigidum is the source of this 630-nucleotide long non-coding RNA. RefSeq lists it as uncharacterized. The record is from RefSeq and is a predicted model, not a curated record. Lineage: Eukaryota; Viridiplantae; Streptophyta; Magnoliopsida; Poales; Poaceae. The transcript has 4 exons.
GCGCCCUCAGCAGCAGCCCCCGCCGCUGCAGGAGAGGGACGAGCGACCGUCCGCCGUGGUCUUGGGCUCCCGACCGUGCCGCGCCGCCACCUCUCCGGACAAGAGCAGAGCGGCAAGCCUCCUACUCUUUCCACCGAUCAGAUCAAUGCGAUAAAUCAGAAUCUGAAGAAAAUGCAAGCUGCUAUGGACAAUGGAUUAGUUGUAUGUGGAACCAUUAGAUUUCUCCUUGAGGAAGGCAAGCUACGCAGUCCGUUUGUCCAGUGUGCGUGGAUGCUUGGUGUUACUAGCUUGCUUGGUUUCUUCUGCCGGACAAGUGAUGAGUCAGCGAAGGGAGGCUAAUCCGACCGUAAUUUGACCUGAAGGAGGGAGAGCCAUUUCGAGAAAUGCCUGAGGUAUGCUUCAAGGAUCUAGAUGCACCUGAAGAGUAUUUUUUUGUUUUGUUUUGAUGGUAUUAAUUUAGGGCACUUGUUAACCUGUUUAUGAAAAAGACUGCGUGUCUUCCCUUUUAGCAAGAGAGGAGGAGUCCCAUAGAACUCCUGGAACGAGUUGCUGUGGCACUGUUUGCAUAUCUAAUCUCAACUUAUGUUAUUGUCGAUCCAGGUUGUAUGAAUCUAAGUGUAUCUGAUGAAU